This 633-nucleotide small RNA is filed under the name Pan troglodytes (chimpanzee). RNAcentral's name for it is "processed transcript". The record is from RNAcentral. Lineage: Eukaryota; Metazoa; Chordata; Mammalia; Primates; Hominidae.
CAGAUUCUUGGUGGACAGCUCUCAUAUCCCCUCCAGGGAAAAUGAUGAAAAAUGUCUUCAGAAAAAUAGCUUUAUGAAGGCAAGAGGACUUUUUGCACCUGCAAGACAUGUCUGAAAGCUCCACAGGUCAAAACACAAGUAGUCAAGAGAUUUGUCCAUCUAAUUCAUCAUACUACUCUGAUCCAAGUGAGACCCACACUGGGUCAGCUCCAUCAAGGAGAAGAACAUUCCACCCACGUUUGGAUUCUGGAAUAUCAUCCUUGCUUCCAUCAGAUUCUUGUAAGUACCUCACUUGGCACAAGAUAGAACAACAUGGCGUUCAAGAAAGUCAACUGCGUUGCCCAAGAGUAAGAGAAGGACCCUCUGAAGAAGAGCAACUUUUCAGACAGGUAGAGUGUGCCUUGCUCCCAAGGAAAAGAGUUCUUGAAAAAAACAAAUGGGAAACAUGGCUACAAGAAAACUGGGAAGACUGCAAGAAAUUGAUGGCAAAAUAUGGAAAUAAAAAAAUUAAGUUGACUUUUAGGAAUGCAGUUUACAAGAGCAAUGCGACCACUGAGAGUGGUAGCAAUGUGUUUUACACCAAAGUUGACUGAUAUUAAAAGUGAAAAUAAAAUAUUCAGUAUCUUUGAAGCA